This 425-nucleotide ribosomal RNA is filed under the name uncultured bacterium. Its description in RNAcentral is "partial 16S ribosomal RNA". It matches the Rfam family "Bacterial small subunit ribosomal RNA", at positions 354 to 796 of the family's 1533-position model. The record is from RNAcentral.
GUUAGGAAUAUUGGACAAUGGGCGAAAGCCUGAUCCAGCCAUGCCGCGUGAACGAUGAAGGCCUUCGGGUUGUAAAGUUCUUUAGCCGAUGAUUAUAAUGACUGUAGUCGGAAAAUAAGCCCCGGCUAACUUCGUGCCAGCAGCCGCGGUAAUACGAAGGGGGCGAGCGUUAUUCGGAAUCACUGGGCGUAAAGCGUGCGUAGGCGGUUUUGUAAGUUAGGAGUGAAAGCCCAGGGCUCAACCCUGGAAUUGCUCUCAAAACUGCAAGGCUCGAAUUCGGGAGAGGAUAGCGGAAUUGUCAGUGUAGCAGUGAAAUGCGUAGAUAUUGACAGGAACACCAGUGGCGUAAGCGGCUAUCUGGACCGAUAUUGACGCUGAGGCACGAAAGCGUGGGGAUCAAACAGGAUUAGAAACCCCGGUAGUCC